Long non-coding RNA from Xyrauchen texanus (razorback sucker), 8584 nucleotides. RefSeq lists it as uncharacterized. The record is from RefSeq and is a predicted model, not a curated record. The transcript has 3 exons. NCBI's taxonomy places the organism in Eukaryota, Metazoa, Chordata, Actinopteri, Cypriniformes, Catostomidae.
ACGACAGUCUGCUCUACAGGUCGACUUUACCAUAGACAUAAUAAAUACUUUAUUAUGUCUAUGGACUUUACUGUCACGAUUUGUAAUGCGCAUGUUCUCGAUUUAUAGAGUCGCGAUGGAGAGUGACUGAAUAUGGAUUAUUUUGUGUCGUAUGUACAAAUUCAAGAAUUUCACAGAGCGUCGGAAGGUGAAACGGGCAUCUACGAAUUUUAAUAUUAAAGGUCAGAUCUUGUCACCGCUGCCAGUUGAAUGACCCCAUCAAGAUUGUUGUGCCAGUCUUUCAUUCCAAUAAGGUAAAAGAAUCUUGGGAAGUGCUUGGUUUGGAUUUGAUUGGACCACUGCCAGAAACAGCAUGCAACAACAAGUAUGUCCUUACAUGACAGACCUGUACACCAAGUGGGUGAUUGCAGAACCCAUGCAAUAUAAGACAGCAGCUGAGAUGUCUGCAAAAAUAACCACAAAGUUGUAAUUGUUCGGCAUGGUUAGGAAAAUCAUUACAGACCAAGGGAAGGAGUUUGUCAACAAGGUGAAGUUUUGUAAAGGUUUUAUUAUGUUGUUUCCCCCUACUCUAGUCUCUACAUGUAUGUUGUUGUCUACAAUUACUCCAGUCUUGCAAAUUUAACUGAUAAUCCCUCUAAAGCUCAACAACAGCAUUUUCAGUACGGUGAAAAUCAAACAUGCUGUCUCCAGUGCUUACCAUCCCCAGACCAACGGACAGAUAACUCUUUAGAUAUCUGUUCUGUAAGAUCUUUCGUUGUCUUGUGGUUAUUCGUAAACUUUAUAAAUGCAUUGAUAUGUACAGGAUGAAAGAAACAAUCAGAAAAUCAAGCGUACUCUCAGGAAGUAUGUAAAUGACAACCAUGACUGGGACCUCCACCUUCCUGCUGUGGUGUAUGGAAUCAACACUGCAAAGCAGGUUGUGUUUUAACAUGCUUACUUAUUAUAUUUAUAAUAUCUACGGUUAGUUGUCAAUGUUAAAACUGAUUUGAUGAAUUUAUUUAAUAUGUAAUGUCAAGGGUGGAGUUUUUCCCUUCAAUACAAAUGUAAUAGUUAAUGGGAAGCUUCCUAUGUGAUCAGUACUCCACUAGACACAGUCCCUACUUCCUCCUCUUCCAUCUACACCCACGUCUGCCAGAGGUCAUGAAUACCUGUCCCAUGGGAGAUGAUUUUGAAGUUGCUGACCCGGAAGAUGACAUCGACACCAGAGUCAAUAAGAUGAAACUUCUUAAUGAAACGGUUUGUAUUUGAAUAAUAAAGGUAAAUUAAUUAGUGACAUACUAUCGGAAUUAGACCUAGGCAUAGGCUGAUGUAUUUUCUUUGCUAUGAUUCUGAUUCUCUGAGCUCUUGUUAUAGCUCUUGUUAUGUCACUGUUACACUGUUUAUUUAGAGAUGUGGAUAAUGUAAUGUUUCUGGGACUGUGUGUGUCUAUGUGUGCCCAGAGUGUCACUAUCACUUUAGCAUUAUCUAUGUCAGGAGAUAGCAUCACCAUUCAGGGAAUUCCUGUGGUGUCUACAUGAUGGUAAGAAUGUUUAAUUUGUCAAAGCUGUUCAAUAUAUGUAUAAUAACAAACCUGAUGGGAGAGGAGCAAUAGAUGUUGCAUUUGAAAUAUGGUAACUUAAAAGAGUAUUAUAUCAAAUUAAACAAACAGUGCCAGGAAAAGGUCUGGUAUGUUAUAUUAUGCUAAAAUAUGUAGACAACAUAAUACUUAAAGCAGUACUGGACUUAUAUGGACCAUAUGAUAUGGGUAGAAGGGAGGCUGCCAAGAUCAUGGAAACAUGCCAUAAUAAUUCUGAUAGCUAAGCCGGGGAAAGAUGUAUAUAUAGCUGGGAAUUAUAGACCAAUAGCACUUACAUCUAACCUACUGUAUGUAAAAUGAUGGAGAAAAUUAUUGUAAAUAGGCUGUAUUAUGUGUUGGAGAGUAAAGGUACGUACACACUGCCAGCGACAUCGCACGCGACAGCGACUCAAUACCAUUAAUUUUCAAUGCGAGCACAGCGACUUCCGGCGAUACGAGCUGUCGCGACCGUUGGCGCUAGAUGUGGGCGUGUCCAGCGACGCGACAAAGUUGAGAAAAGUUCAACUUUGGAGCGACUAACGGAAGCGACAGCCAAUAGGAGAGACGACGGGAGAGCUCACGUGAUCCUUCUCUCUUUCUCUCAGCUCCUGCAGUAACGGAAAGAUGGAUGAAAGGCUAAUUCUUGCUGUUAGAAAUGUUCCAGUGCUCUAUGAUAUGUCUCUUCCCACGUACAAGGACAUUUUAAAGAAAAAUACUGCGUGGAAAGGUGUAUCUGAGAUCGCGGGGAUUUUAUGGACCCAUACAGACCGACAUUUGCAUUUUCGCCGCAGAUAAACAGCCGCUCUGGCAAACAGCACGCCUUGUUUCUCAUUCAUCUUUGAUAUAAAGCAUUUUAUGUACUGAUUCCAUUUAUAUUUAGUCUUUUCCCUACAAAAUGUUUGUUUUUAGUGGCAAGAAAAGAGAUUCGCUGUCAACAGCAAUGGAAUGACAUCCGUGAAUGUCAUUUAUAAACGUUACUAGGCAACCAGUAGUGAGAACACCCACUAGCGACUUCACCGCCAGCCACUGGCGACCUGCAGCGAUAAAGUCGCUGGCAGUGUGUACGUAGCUUAAGAGAUUGUCAGCGCCUUAUCAAAAUGGUUUUAGAAAAGGUAGAUCAACAUUGGAUGGACUAAUAAAAUUGGAAACAGAUGUUAAGAAAGCAAUAGCAAUGAAUGAGGCAGAUUAUUUUGAUAUUGAGAAGGCAUAAGACAUGAGGUUGAAAGAAGGUUUAUUAUUAAAAUUGGAAUAGAGGGAAGAAUCUAUAAUUGGGUUUUAGGUUUUUUUAUUCUAAAGAACUAUCCAAGUUCGAGUAAUGAAUUGUCUCAAAUUGUAAGAGUGGAGAACGGAACACCUCAGGGGAGUGUGAUAAGCCCUAUAUUAUUUAAUAUUAUGAUUAAUGACAUAUUUGAAGGAGUGUCAUCAGACACCCCAAAAGAGGGAGGAGUAUAUCCUUUAAUAUGGAGAGAAUUCAAGAAGCAAUAGGAAUUGUUGAAAAUUUGUCUUUAGAAUGGGGGUUCAAAUUUUCAAUAUCCAAAACAUGUUAUCAGAUAUUUACAAAGAAGAAAAAAAUUAAAGAGAACAAACAACUUAAAUUACAUGGGACAUCAACAAAGUAAAGUUUUAAUAUCUGGGAAUGUGGUUUGAUGAAAAGUUAACUUGAAAAGAUCAUAUAGAGAAUAUUAUAAAGAAAUGUUGUAAAGUAAUAUACUUGAUGAGAGAGGUUGAAGGACAAGACUGGGGUGCAGACAAACAAUCAUUAAAAGGUAUGUUGGACUUCUGUGAUCAGGCUAUGGUUGUAUUGUAUAUGAAUCUGCGUCUGCAACUAUGCUAAAUAAACUAGAUGUCAUGCAAGCUAAAGCAUUAAUACUAACCCUAACCCUAAAUUCAUCAAUUCUGUCUUACAUAUGCUAUUAUAUUUCCCCCAAUCUGCUUUCUCAAAUUUCCAUCUUUGUUGUUUUGCUACUACAUUCCUUUGCAUUUCUAAUCCUAUUGUGCAGGUUACUGGAUAAUGAUUACUCCCAAUUGUUGAUUGAUCUAGUAUUUCCCAUUGACAUUUUAGUGCUUUUAUUGCUGAUACUAUUGUUAGAUCUAUACAUGACUUAGUUGAAUCUCUGAUAUUGAGCCUUAUUCCACUCCCAUAAUUUAAGGGUACCAAUAAAUUCUCCUCCAUAUAUUAUUCCACCACUAUGCCAUAUUUAUUUGUGCUUAAACUUCCCCAUGUAACACUUUGCGCAUUAAAAUUACCACACCAUAUCACCAUACCUUCUUAUUUACUCCAAAUUUUGUUUAAUUCUAUUAAGGAUAACUGUUCACAUGGAUUGUAAUAGUUUAUUAUUAUUAAUUUUCCUAACUGUGUCCAUACUUCCACCUUAGUACCUUCAUAUUGUGUAUCUAUAUUUACUUCCCUAUAAGCCACCCCAUUCUUUAGAAAUGUUUCUGUUCUCUAUAUUUACUUCCCUAUAAGCCACCCCAUUUUUUAUAAAUGUUUCUAUUCUAUCUUUUCUCAUGGAUAAGUACCCUGGAAUAACAGUUUAAUAAGUUUAAUCAUGGUUUAAGCCAUGUUUCUUGGAUACAUAUAACAUCUGGAGGAUUUGUUAAUUUAUGUACUACUGUAUUCUUUUGAACUCUUGGCAAUUCGCGAUCAGACUUCUGGCAUUCCAUUGUACUGUCCUGAAUGUCAUAUUAUUUGUUUAACCUUUGAUUGUCUGGUAAUUACUGAGAAUUUGCAUUAUUCUCAGAUUGGCCUAAGAGUGUCUGAAUUUUCUCUACUGUUAUUUCUGUUAUACCAAGCUGACGUGUUGCUGCAGAUAUGAUUAUUUUCAGUUUCUCUGUCCUUUUGUUUGUUUGUGCCUUGCAGUUAAUGACUUCUUUGAUAAAUGCAAUGAAACUCACUUUACUAACCAUGAGCAUACUUUAGUCAAUAUUCGCUUUAUCCAUAUCUGUACCCUUGUUUGAUAUCUCAUUUGUAUUGUUAUGAGAGUUCCCAUCACUUAUCUUGUUUCCUUGCUCAUUUUGAAUAUUCUUUACUGCUUGUGCAUAUGAUACAUUUUAAUCUGAUUUGUACCUCAUAACUUCCAUUGCUUGUUUUUAUGCUGUAUUUUCCUAGUAUGCAGCACUAUGUGGGCCUCCACAAUUGCAGCACUUCGGUCCAACUUGUUCUCCACUCUCCCCAUAAUCAUGUUCUCCUCCACAUUUACAGCACCUUUUCUUUCCUUUACAUACUUCUGCCACAUGUCUUAAUCUUUGGCAGUUGAAGCAUCUCAAUGCAGGUAUGUAUGGACAUACUGGAUAGCACACAUAUCCAAUUUUGACAUUUUCUUGUAGUAUUUUACCAUUCACUACUAUCAUCACUGUUGUACUCACUUCUCUUUUCCCAUUUCUAUUUGAUGUCAAUCUUUUCACAUCUGUUACCUUUUCAUUUGUUAUCUGAUUUUUUAGUACCUCAUCUGUUAACGAUUCUCCUCCUUCUCCUACGGUUUUCUCGGAAUCUGAUCCUCUGUUUUUCCGUUUUUGCGAUAUCUGAGACCACUUUUCGCUAUUCAUGUCUUCAACAUUCUCCUCUCCAUCUACAUUACUUCCUUAAUUUUCUUUAUUCACAUCACAGUCGUCGCCAGACCCACCACGGAAUUUUUCUUUCGCCAUCUUUCUCCCGCCGACAAUCCUCGAGCCAAAAAAGAAAACAGCGCGACGGUGUCCACGUUCCAAUGCGGAAGUGCCCUCCCCGGAUCAGUGCAGGCUUCGGCGAAGGCCGCAUCGAGGGCGCAAAGGGGGCGCUCGCGAGAAUCCUCAACAAUGCCACAUACUGGACAAAAAUUCUAAAGACAAGCUAUUUUUAGUUAUUUUUAAAAUAAAUGUUUUUUUUGUGAUUGAAAGUUAACUUUUUCUAACUCCUCAUCUUGUGCUGCUUAUUGUGCCGAUAAUUGGCUUGACCCCGGUAUCGCUCCUUGCAGCUAUAUUUGUAUUUAUUUGUGUUAUUUUACCAUCUGGACACUCUCCCAGACUCCAUCUACACUCACCUAAAGGAUUAUUAGGAACACCAUACUAAUACUGUGUUUGACCCCCUUUCGCCUUCAGAACUGCCUUAAUUCUACGUGGCAUUGAUUCAACAAGGUGCUGAAAGCAUUCUUUAGAAAUGUUGGCCCAUAUUGAUAGGAUAGCAUCUUGCAGUUGAUGGAGAUUUGUGGGAUGCACAUCCAGGGCACGAAGCUCCCGUUCCACCACAUCCCAAAGAUGCUCUAUUGGGUUGAGAUCUGGUGACUGUGGGGGCCAUUUUAGUACAGUGAACUCAUUGUCAUGUUCAAGAAACCAAUUUGAAAUGAUUCGAGCUUUGUGACAUGGUGCUGGAAGUAGCCAUCAGAGGAUGGGUACAUGGUGGCCAUAAAGGGAUGGACAUGGUCAGAAACAAUGCUCAGGUAGGCCGUGGCAUUUAAACGAUGCCCAAUUGGCACUAAGGGGCCUAAAGUGUGUCAAGAAAACAUCCCCCACACCAUUACACCACCACCACCAGCCUGCACAGUGGUAACAGGGCAUGAUGGAUCCAUGUUCUCAUUCUGUUUACGCCAAAUUCUGACUCUACCAUCUGAAUGUCUCCACAGAAAUCAAGACUCAUCAGACCAGGCAACAUUUUUCCAGUCUUCAACUGUCCAAUUUUGGUGAGCUCUUGCAAAUUGUAGCCUCUUUUUCCUAUUUGUAGUGGAGAUGAGUGGUACCCGGUGGAGUCUUCUGCUGUUGUAGCCCAUCCGCCUCAAGGUUGUGCGUACACACCCCUCACACAAACUCUUCACCUUCCUGCUGUCUGGCAAGAGGUACCAAAGCAUUCGGGCCAGACUGUGUAACCGCUUCUUCCCCCAAGCCAUCAGACUCCUCAAUACUCAGAGACUGAACUGACAGACACACACAAACACACACACACACACACACACACACACACACACACACACACACGUGUACACCAUCCAAAUUUUGCACAUGUCCAGAGUUGCACUUUAAUUUAUUGUCACUGUAUACCAAGCUGCUACCUCAAUAACUGCUAUGUCCAUAGAAAACUAUUUCAUAGUAUGAUAUGUUUACAUUUGGCAUUUUGUUGCACUAUUCAUUACAAAUGUGUACUGGUCGGCGCUGCACUGUCUCUUACUGUAUCCAUUGUCCUGUUGCUUUUAGUAACUUUUUGGUAGCACUUUAGGUAGAAAUUUUAUGUAGAAAUAUUAUUUAGUCUGUGUAGUCUCAUGUGGUUCUGUGUUUGUCGUGCACCAUGGUCCUGGAGGAACUUUGUCUCAUUUCGCUGUGUACUGUACUAACUGUAUAUGGUUGAACAACAAUAAAAAACACUUGACUUGAUGUUGUUUAUAAGUGUUAGCAAAUACCAUUUAAUAGAAUUGAUCUCGUUUUAUAUUUUUUAAACCUUAGUUGGUAAAACGUGUUUAUCAAUGGGUGCUAAAAAAUAAUAACAGGGCAAUUCGCACACUUUUUCAAAGAUAAAUUAUCUCUAUGCCUUAUGUUGAGUCAUAUUGAAACUCUUUGUUACAUGGAAAAGUAAAAUGCUGGGGAAAAAAGGUGUGGUUACUUCCUCAGAAGUAUCAUAUCAGGAACAAGGUGAAAGAGGUUUCAUAUAAACUACACAGAUUCUAUCCAAGAAAUAGUUAUUUGCUGAAAUUCAAAAAAUAUAUACAUACAAACUGUGUUUUGCAAUGACCACGAAGAAACUGAUUUACAUUUAUUUUGACAAUUCGAUUACUCUAUGGCUAAAUGUAAAGAAAUUGAUUAUUUACAAUAUUCAGUGUCCAAGUCCUUUUUCACUAUUGUGGGAAUACUUUUUGGCUUCACCAAUUGUCCAAAAGAAGAAGAAUUCUGCUUUUAUUUUAUUAAUUUAAUUAUAAUACUGACAAAAUUUUACAUUCAUAAAUGCAAAUUUACUCAAAUAAAAAAAAAAACUUUGUUUUAUUAAGUGAAGUAAAACUAUACAUUGACAGUAUUAGAGACUCUCUGAAUAAAUAGGCCUUAUAAAUAGGACUUAUAAAGAUUAGUCAGUUUUAUGAAAUAUUUAUAUUUGAAUUCUAUAUGUAUUUUUGUGUUAUUUAAUACAGUAUAUCCCUACAUCCCCCUUGUACUUUUUUCCUCUCUUCUGUGCACUCCUUGUACAUUUAUUAUGUGUAAUUAUACAAAGUGUAUAAUGUUGAUGUUUAUUAAUUAUAAUAUAAUAUAGCUGCAAGCAGCAAUUAACGGGGUUCAAGCCUUUUAAGAACUUUCAAAGUAUGUAAAAAAGGAAUGUAUUUUAUAUGUAUAUGUACUUUGUAAGUUGCUGAAUUUGUUAAUUAUGACUGAUGUCUUGUGUUCAAUAAUCCUGAAACAGGAUAAUUGUUAUGGUGGUAUAAGUUUUACUUUUUAACUGUUAUAAAGCCACAAAGCACCCAAUCACCAAAAAGGUUUUAGAAAUUUGAAUAUUUAUUUUAGGAAUUAUAGGCUUUUGGAUACACUUGGUCAAACCCACAUGAUAAAUGCAACCCCUAAAUAAAUAACUAAAGUUCAACUUUUCUUUGAUAAUUAUUGAACUAGGGAGUCCUAGAUGUAGUUCACAAUAGCAGGUAACAUUGGAUAAUAUACAAUAAUUUACACACCAUUUAUACAGCUAUUUUGCUGAAAUAUGUUGGGUGCUGGCGUCCAUGUUUUUAUUUGUCUGAGUCAUAUUGUAGAAUAUGUAAGCAUUUGGCCCCUACAAGAAGCGUACCAAUUUUCAACUUCAUUGAUAAUAGAGUUGCGGAGUUAUGAGCAUUUAUUUAUGUUUUAGUGCCCCCUAUAGGCAAUUUUCUCGUGAUUUUGUAUGGAGACUCAAAAUGUGCUGUUGUACAUGUGUUUCAGUUUUCACAACAUUUGGCCUUUUCGUUUGGUAGAUAUUGGUGAAUAUGCACAAAAUGGAUGAAGCCUGACUAAUUUGUUGGCUUAUAUCUUUGCAACACUUCAACGAAUCAAAAUUCCUUUGAUAGCUUUUCGUCAAGAGGGUUCAUGUUAGACACACACCAAUUUUUGUGA